UUCUCUGUGGUGUAACUGGCAGCACAACAGGCCCUGACCCUGUCAGCCCUGGUUCGACCCCAGGCAGAGAAG
This 72-nucleotide transfer RNA is filed under the name Caudoviricetes sp. RNAcentral describes it as "tRNA-Gln". It matches the Rfam family "tRNA". Rfam says of the family: Transfer RNA (tRNA) molecules are approximately 80 nucleotides in length. The record is from RNAcentral. Lineage: Duplodnaviria; Heunggongvirae; Uroviricota; Caudoviricetes.